RNA transcript from Chenopodium quinoa (quinoa), 6445 nucleotides. It is a transcript of the gene named cyclin-dependent kinase G-2-like, with no coding region annotated. The record is from RefSeq and is a predicted model, not a curated record. NCBI's taxonomy places the organism in Eukaryota, Viridiplantae, Streptophyta, Magnoliopsida, Caryophyllales, Amaranthaceae. The transcript is spliced from 8 exons.
AUUCAUCCAUCGAUCCAUAUUCCUGUUGAAUAAGGUAAGGUUGGGUGGCAAUUGGCAAAGCCAAUCACACUUUCACCGAAGAAGCGUCGUCUCACACUUUGCGGUGACUUCCUUCGCUUUUCUUCUCCCCCAAUUACCUCCUUCUCUCUCUACAUCAUUCUAUCUUCCCCCCUUUUCUCUCUCCUCCUCCGGCAAACCCUUAAUUUCUUCGUCACUCUUCCACUCUCUCUCUCUUCUUCGAUUUCCGUAUUUUGAUGAAUUUUUCCUAGGGUUUCUAUUUCCUCAAUUUCGAUUUCUAGGGUUUUGUUUUUGUUAAACAGAAAUUUCGCACUUUUUGGUAUUCAUUUGAAUUCAUUGCUCGACGAACGAGUUUUCAAGCUUCGGAGCUGGCGAUUUUGCUGAUAAAGGUCCGCCUUUGCUAUUAAUUGCUCCUUUUUUUUUGUGUUUCUUUGUUUUCUGUGUUAAGUUUCGAUUUAUUUUCUCAGAUCUGUGUGAGUGCAAGUUGGUGUAAAUUUUGAUUUCUAGGGUUUUUGUUUUAGGAAGUUCAAUUUGGUUAUGUUCAUCUAAAACACAAAAAAAUUAAAAAAAUUGUUUCUUUGUGUGUUCGCCUUUGAAUUGCUGGUCGGCUGAAGGUAUAUAAUUAGGGUUAUUGAGGAUUAGGGUGUAAUUGAAAUUGUUUUCCGAGUAAAGGGGUUUCUUUGCUUGAAUUUAUGGCUGCUGGAAGGAAUGGGGGGUACCACGAAACUGAAUAUAAGGAACGCAGCUCGGAUUAUGAUACCGCGAGGCGAGAUAUAGCUUAUUCAAAAGGUGAAUAUGAUAAAAUUAGGAAUGGUAAUCAGGUUAGGGAUCGGGAGAUAAUAAGGGGUAGAGACAGUAGAGCUAGGGUUAGACAGAGAGAUAUUAGGGAAAGGGACUUUGCUAACGGCGGUGAUUAUCGCUCGUCUUCGAGUAAAAGUGAUUCAGGGGGAAGUGGGGUUGGUGGUGGUGGUGGAGGGGGAGGGGGAGGAGGGCCUAGGAGAUGUGGGAAUUCAGCGAGGAUUACGGAUCGUGAGCCUGGUGAAUUGUCUAGUGAGGAUGGGUCUGAGAGUGCUGUCGAUUCAGAAUCACGGUUUGGAAAGGAUAAUGAAGUGUCGAAGAUGGAUAAUGGGGCUCAUUCCUCUCCUCUGGCUACUAAGAAAAGAAAGUUUUCUCCUAUUGUAUGGGAUAGAGAUGACAAGGGUGCUACAGAUGCAUCAAGAAGUAGAUCUGUAUCCACUACUGCUUCCCUUCCUCCUCAGCCUGUUCGGAAAUCAUACCAGCAGUCUCCUGCCACGAUGCGUGUAGAGAGUAAGGAGGUAUCUCCUGUUAAAAGUGAUGAACCGCAUGAAGACGUUGAAGUUUCUCUUGUUGAUCCCUCUGUGGAACAGGAUCGUUUGUAUGAUGAUAAUGUAUCUGAGUCUCCUGCAAAUCAUCGUUCUUCACCAUAUCAGGAGACACAGUGGGGGAAUGGCAAAGGGGCUGAGCAGGUAGAUGAUGAGGAUUACAUUCCCACCAGGCACAUAUCAGCCUCUAGGUGGGCAGGUAAUGCUAAUUCUCCGGCCGAUGAAGGUGAGAUUUCAGAUGAUGACAUAAUGCGGAAAAAGAGGAAGAAGAUGCCUUCCUCUGAGUAUCUAGAUACUAGGAAGAGCAGGAAGUCAUCUAGUCCAGAUGCUGGAGAUGGUGCAAGAGAGGUUUCUGACGUAGCUAAGGGAAGAUUAUCAGAUUCUGAUGGAAGCAUGCAAAGUAGACCUUCCACUGGAGAUCGUGAUCUUCAAAAUAAUAAAGAUAGGGAGGAUAAUAUUGAGGUAGAUGAUAGAUACAAUGACACUGACUCUAGCCUAAGCCCCAUAAGAGCUGACUCCGAUGAUGAAGAUUAUUCUCGUGAAACACCUGAACCUCCAGUUGCUCCUAAAAGAACAGUGAAUAUGCUUCAGGGUUGUAGGAGUGUGGAUGAGUUUGAAAGACUGAAUAAGAUAGACGAAGGAACUUAUGGUGUAGUUUACAGAGCUAAAGAUAAGAAGACUGGAGAAAUUGUAGCUUUGAAAAAGGUAAAGAUGGAGAAGGAAAGGGAGGGCUUUCCAUUGACUUCUCUGAGGGAAAUUAACAUUCUUUUGUCACUGCACCACCCGUCCAUUGUUGAUGUCAAGGAAGUAGUUGUUGGAAGCAACCUUGAUAGUAUCUUUAUGGUUAUGGAAUACAUGGAGCAUGAUCUUAAAGCGCUUAUGGAGACCAUGAAACAGCCAUUUAGUCAGAGUGAAGUUAAAUGCCUCAUGCUUCAGUUAUUAGAUGGUAUAAAGUAUCUUCAUGAUAAUUGGGUCCUUCAUCGUGAUUUAAAGACAUCAAAUUUGCUUAUGAACAACCAGGGUGAGUUGAAGAUAUGUGACUUUGGAUUGGCUCGUCAAUAUGGGAGUCCAUUGAAGCCAUAUACUCAUUUGGUUGUCACACUUUGGUACAGGUCACCGGAGCUUCUGUUGGGUGCAAAGGAGUAUUCAACAGCCAUUGAUAUGUGGUCACUCGGUUGCAUUAUGGCUGAGCUCUUGUCAAAGGAGCCUCUUUUUAAUGGAAAAUCGGAAUUCGAUCAACUUGACAAGAUAUUCAGGAUCCUUGGCACACCAAAUGAGACAAUCUGGCGUGGUUUUUCCAAGUUGCCUGGAGUGAAGGUCAAUUUCGUGAAGCACCAGUAUAACCAGUUGCGCAAGAAAUUUCCAGCCACGUCAUUUACCGGAUCUCCUGUCCUCUCUGAUGCUGGAUUUGAUUUGUUGAACAGACUUUUAACUUAUGAUCCUGAAAAGCGUAUCACAGCGGAUGCUGCUCUAAACCAUGAAUGGUUUCAUGAAGUUCCUCUUCCCAAGUCAAAGGAAUUUAUGCCUACGUUUCCUGCUCAACAUGCGCAAGACAGGCGAGUGCGCAGGGUUCUGAAGAGUCCUGAUCCCUUGGAAGAGCAACGCAGGAAGGAAUUGCAGCAAGCAGAAUUGGGAACUGGCGGUUUGUUUGGGUAGUAACAUAGGCCCUACUGUAGACCUGAGAUUUUUAUGCUCCAUGAUUUUUGCCAAUGCCAACAAAUGGGACAUGCAUGAGGUGAGGGAGAUGGAUUCAACACAACUUGCUAAAGAAAGGCUUGUCAGAUUGUCAUUCAUGCUGUUUUUUAGCAGGCAUGUUUGAUGAAACGACUGGAGGGAUAUAUUUUUUGCCUAUGCCACAAGAUCUGUAGCAGUCAUGUUAUCUUCCAGCUUUGGUGAUAGGAUGCAUCACAGCAGUGCUUGCAUCAUAAGAGGUGGUUGGUGUAAAGCGGAGGGAACGUUCUUUGCUUUUCAUUGACGAGCGUUUUACAAAUUAGAAAAAAGCUCCUGAACUUUGAUGACUUUUCUCUGCGAAUGUCACUGCAGUACUAAAGCCAGCAGGUUGAGGAGGUAGAAAUCCCAAUUGUAUUUUGGUUCAUCACAAAAUGUAUAGCUCGAGACCAUUUAGAGGUACCUUACAACUCUCAUGUUUCCAUUUAUAAUUUCUCUCUUGGGUAACUUUUGUUUAACAUCUUUGGAGAUAAUAUUUAAGAAGUAUUAAUUCUGCUAAGGUUAUGAGAUUUCUUGAGAAAAUGCUAAUUAAUGUUCUGCCCUCCAACCUUAUUACAAGAGGUUAUUACCUAAUCUUGUUAAUAUCAAGCUAGAUCACACCUUACCAGAAAAAUCAAGACUAGGCCUGACCAAAUAUUUUUACUUUUUUCUUACAAAAGGUCUUUUAUUGCAUAUUUGUAAAAAUUAUGAAAAUUAGAUAUUCAGAAAAUGCACUUUGAGGAGUUUCUAACAAGACCUCACUUGAGAUAUUUUUCCUUUAAUCUGGUGGCAAAGUACAUUCAAAGGUCAGUCAGAUUAGGAGAUUAGACUAGACCAGAUCAAGUCAAAAUGAUUCAGAAAUGUACACCUUAUUUCAGUUGUAGAUACAAAGCCUAAUUAGUUGCUAGUACUUUCGAGGACUAUUGAAAAACUACUGUGAGUCAGUUGUCGCCUUAAGCAUUAAAGCUAAAUUCCUGUGUGAGAUGUAGCCCUCCACUGUUAGCUGUAUGUGGUUGAUUUAUGUGAUAUGGCACCUCACCUCUGUGUGAAAUUUUUGUGUCUUGUUAAUACCGACUUGAUAUUGGAAUCUGGGCUGCUGUCCUUGUAAGUCUUCUUUGUUUAAAUGUAGUAAGACAGCUCUGGUGAGUUGAUAUGAGGAGUCUUCUGUAUACAACUAUAUAUUGAUGGUGCAAGUAUGUACUGGUAUUUAUUAAACCAUUGGUGGAGCUAUUUUUGGACUAGGAUUUGGAAGAUUGUUACAGGUUAUUUACAUUAUUUCAGUUGGUUAGUGGUAUUUUUGUCCCCCAUCUCCAUGCUACUUUGCCCUUUCGGUGUAUGUAGCAUGGAAAGCCUUGAGAAAUCUAAAGGGAGAUACUAUUCUACAGAGAAAUAAAAACCAAUACAAGUCAAAGACCCCCUGAUCCAAAUUACUUAUCUGAAAUUGCCUAGCUCACAAUGAGUUUUCUGUGUUUGCUAAGAUGUAUAAACCCUAGACUUGUCUACUUGCUUUUAUUUCAACUCAAUGGAGUUGGGUGUAUUUUAUUUGGUCUGCAUUUGUCAUUGUCCAUUUAUAUUCUGUUUCAUCCAGGAUUGUUCUUCAGUUAUAGUGUCAUUAACUGUGAAGCAGUAUGGUUAUAUAGGAACCCUGUGAUGGACAACAGGGUUCUUUUAUUAGAUAUGAUGGCUAUGUUUCGUUUUCUUUAUAAUUAGCCAUGUUAGAAGGGUGUGUAAUAUUAGAUGGGAUACCGGUAGUAGUUCAGAACUCGAUUAUAUUGGUACGUUUCGGUAUAGUAUCUUAGACUUAGCGGAGAUUAGUAUGCUAUAAUAAUUGCCCGACUGCCCGUCCUCUCUCUCAAAAAAUAAAAUAAAAUUUAAUAAAAAUAUAUAAGAACCCUGCCACUGUUUCUCUUCGCCCAGCAUUAAUUAGUGGAUUGUGCUAUGGUAUCCUUUGGCUUAGUUGGUCAAUGUAAGUCUUCUAUCCAUCUCUGAUAGUGAGAAGGUGAAAAUGUGACCUGUGAUUCCUCUGUUCUUUGGUUGCUGCAUAAUUGCAUGGGCUAUGCUGUCUUGCUUCAUGAGUUCAGCAAAUAAAAUAUCUAGCAAAGUUAUGUUUGUGAUUUUGUUAUCGUUUCACACUUUCACCUGCUUGUUUAUUUAUAAAUCAUCCUUACAUCUAUUCACAAUGCUUAAAUUGGUCGGUGGGUUAUUUCCCUCCUCAUAUGUGAUAAUUUUCUACUGGCUGGCUUUCGUUAUUGUGCGGUUUGUUUCUUCUCAAUAGGUAUCUUAUCUGUGAGUUUUUACUGGUAUGGAUCGUCAUUCUUUAUCUGAUGUAAUCUUUAUACCAUUUUGUUUAUUGUUUUUGUUUGUUGCUAUGGUUGUACAAUUUUUUCAAUAUUUUUUAUGAACUAUACGGAAAGGGUGUUUUUGUUUGUUGUUUGCUCCUCAAUGCUUGGCUGUGUUGUUAAGCUUAUCAUAUACACAAGGGUAAAUUCCCUGGUGUCUAUUGAUAUUCAUUGUGUUUUUUUUUGCUAGAUUAAAUAUUAUUCGUUGAAAAUAGUAGUGCUUUAUGAUCUGGGUACUUAGCAGUUAUAUGCUACAGACCAUGGUGGAACAUAUAGAAAGGGUAAUAAACCACCAUGCAUCAUCAGCUGAAUUGUUUUUUGUUAAGCAAUAUCAACUAUGUCUAGUUAUUGUUUUCAUUCCAGAAUGUAAUUUUUUUAGUCGGUUUGAAGAGGUUUUAGUUGAAGUGAGCCAAGGGAUGGGUUCUUGGUGCCUUGAUUUUGUUUUCAUGUGAAGCUUUCGUGUGCUGUUAAUUUGUUAUGGUAUUGAUUUUUUUUUUUUAAUCGUCGGAUUUUAUGGUGGCUUGUUUGUGUAAUUUGGUUGCCACACUCCUUGCACAAUUGGUUUAAGAGCCCAGGUUCAUUAGAUAUUUUCUGUAAAAAUAAAUGAUGGAAGACGGGCAGGUGACGAUCAAAUGGCAAGGAUUUCAAAUUGUGCGUCAUAGAUUAAGGCCUACAUCAGUGAAGUGGGGAACAAAUUAUUUGGCAAGGAUUUCAAUUUGUGUCAACAGGAAGUGUAUUUUACACUUGAGUCGAUUUUCAUCAUUCGCACGCUCUCAUCGGAGAGUGAAAGUAUGCUUUACAUGUCUAGUUUUCUCGUUAACCGAAUAUAUCAGAAUUCUAAUGUCAAUGCAGACUUGAUGAUCUUGCGAAACUACCUGGAAGACUAGGAAAAUUACCCUUGUUGGAUGUACUAGAAGCAUUUAGAGAAGGAUGUUAAUUGGUGUGUCAGAAUCAUGAAGUGUCAUAGAUUGAAUGGAAAUUGCAUGAAUGUGAUCGAUUGUACAUUUAAGUGAAGUUUAAGCGUUUAAGUUUUCUCAA